UCAAGCUACAAAGGGCGCAAGGAGAAUGCCUUGGCACUGGGAGCCGAUGAAAGACGUGGUAAGCUGCGAUAAGCUUCGGGGAGGAGCAAACAUCCUUUGAUCCGGAGAUUUCUGAAUGAGGAAACUCACCAGAGUUCAUACUCUGGUAUCCUGUACUGAAUCCAUAGGUACAGGAGGGGAACCGCCUGAACUGAAACAUCUAAGUAGGGCGAGGAAGAGACAUCAAACGAGAUUCCGUUAGUAGUGGCGAGCGAACGCGGAAGAGGGCAAACCGGAAGGAGAAAUCCUUCCGGGGUAUGGACCGCUUUUAGGACUUUAGCUGUUAAUCGAAUGGCAUGGGAAGGCCAACCAAAGAGUGUGAGAGUCACGUAGAUGAAAACGGCGAGAGCUGCGCGAGUUCCAGAGUACGGCCAGACACGUGAAACCUGGUCGGAAGAUGGGGGGACCACCCUCCAACCCUAAAUACUACCCAGUGACCGAUAGCGUAUAGUACUGUGAAGGAAAGGUGAAAAGGACCCCGGGAGGGGAGUGAAAUAGAACCUGAAACCUUGUGCCUACAAGCACAUAGAGCACAUCAACGUGUGAUAUGGUACUUUUUGUAGAACGGUCCGGCGAGCGAUUGUAUGUUGCGAGCUUAAGGUCUUAAGGACUGGAGGCGCAGCGAGAGCGAGUCUGAAUAGGGCGUUCAGUAACAUGCAAUGGGCCCGAAACCGGGUGACCUACCCAUGAUCAGGCUGAAGUGAAAGUAAAAUUUCAUGGAGGGCCGAACCGACCUCCGUUGAAAAGGCGGCGGAUGAAUUGUGGGUAGCGGAGAAAUUCCAAUCGAACUCGGAGAUAGCUGGUUCUCCCCGAAAUAGCUUUAGGGCUAGCCUCAUAUUAGAUACCCGGAGGUAAAGCACUGAAUGGCCUAGCGCCCGAGAGGGUAGCGAAGCCUAUCAAACUAAGAAUGCCGGAGUAUUGAUGUAUGGGAGUCAGACAGUGUGAGAUAAAUCUCAUUGUCAAAAGGGAAACAGCCCAGAUCUACAGCUAAGGUCCCAAAUUGUAUCUAAGUGGAAAACGAUGUGGAAAUACGCAGACAACCAGGAUGUUGGCUCAGAAGCAGCCACUCAUUUAAAGAGUGCGUAAUAGCUCACUGGUCGAGCGUCUCUGCGCGGAAAAUUUAACGGGGCUAAGAUACAAACCGAAGCUUAGGCUGCAUCGAAAGAUGCGGGGUAGGGGAGCGUUGUGUAAGCGGAGAAACAGUAGCGUAAGCGGCUGUGGAGUUUACAGAAGUGAGAAUGCCGGAAUGAGUAGCGCGAAUGUGGUGAGAAUCCACAUGGCCGGAAACCUCAGGUUUUUGGAGGAAGGUUCGUCCGCUCCAAGUUAGGCGGGAGCUAAGGUCAGGCCGAAAGGCGUAGCCGAUGCACAGACGGUAGAGAUUCCGUCCCCACCGAAAGAUUUAAGCACAGGGACACUUUUUGAAGGUCGGAGCCAGGUGUUGGUUCUGGUAGUGAUCGAGGGAAAUAUAGUACCGAAGUCCGGCUGGAAGAGAGGCGAGAAAAGCUGUGUGUAUAUCUAAGGUGCCCGUACCGCAAACCGACACAGGUAGGUAGGAAGAAGAUUCUAAGGCCAACGGGAGAAGGGUUGUUAAGGAACUCGGCAAAUUGACCCCGUAACUUCGGGAGAAGGGGUGCUCCAGAGAUGGAGCCGCAGAGAAUCGGCCCAAGCAACUGUUUACCAAAAACACAGGUUUGUGCUAAAUCGAAAGAUGACGUAUACGAGCUGACGCCUGCCCGGUGCUGGAAGGUUAAAAGGAGAUGUGCAAGCAUUGAAUUGAAGCCCCAGUGAACGGCGGCCGUAACUAUAACGGUCCUAAGGUAGCGAAAUUCCUUGUCAGGUAAG
RNAcentral lists this ribosomal RNA (1881 nucleotides) under human gut metagenome. Its description in RNAcentral is "bacterial LSU rRNA". It matches the Rfam family "Bacterial large subunit ribosomal RNA", at positions 3 to 1980 of the family's 2925-position model. The record is from RNAcentral.